AUAGCUGGACUCUAUAUAGAUAUAUCUAUAAAAUUAGGCUGGAAUACUAUUAAUAGCACAAAUAGCUUAGUGUUAUUAGUUUUUUAGUUUUUGGAUUGAGAAAAGUGCGGCUAGGAUGAUAUAGCCCUCCUAGGGUGGAGUGGGUGGUUGGUUGAAUAGUAUAAUCUAACGGAUAAAAAUAAUCAAAAGGUUAUAUCUAACAGUGGAAAACUCAUAGCACCAAAUCGUUUGUGCUAUCAAUAGUAUCCCAGCCGGACUCUCUCUCUCUCUCUCUCUCUCUCUCUCUCUCUCUCUCUCUCUCUAUAUAUAUAUAUAUAUAUAUAUAUAUAGAGUUGAGCUAGAAUACUCUCGAUAGUAAACGGAGCAUUUUACUAUCGAGUUGUUUUCGAUGAUAGAGCUUCCAAAUUGACGAUCGGCUCCGUUAAAUAUGAUCUAAACCAUUUAAACUACAUAGAAAUCAAAUUUCACGCACUUUCGAUAUUGUUCUUUUAUCCAUCUAGUAAACAGAAAAUAAACGGUUGAAAAUGAAAAUUCUUUAAAAAAUGAUGAUAGGAGUCUUGUAAUCAAGAUCAAGAGUAUAGAUCUUGUUUUAAAUAGUUUAAAAAAUUUUCUAACAAAUAUUCAAUUGAUUUGGAUAUCUUUACACCGUUAAACGAAAAAACGUCUCUUAUCCACCAUUAAAAUUACAAAUUUUGAAACCCUUUGAUCAUUAGGCAAAUGAUGUCGAAAAGAUUUGAAAUUUGAUUUCUAAACACUUUAAGUGGUAUAGAUCAUGUUCAACGGAGCCGAUCGUCAAUUUGGAAGCUCUAUCAUCGAAAACAACUCGAUAGUAAAAACCCUGUUUACUAUCGAGAGUAUUCUAGCUCAACUCUAUAUAUAUAUAUAUAUAUAUAUAUAUAUACAAUGUAGAGCUAUUAUGCUAUCGAAAGCAUAAAGAAUUUGAUACUUCCGAUUUUUUGACCAUUGGAUUAAGAAUUAUAUGAUUGGGAUAAUUGCGGUCGACCUUAGAGUUGAGUAGUACCCUUAGGAUUGAGUGGUCCUCACAAAAUAAUAGUGGUAAUCCAAAUAUUAGAAAUAAUUAAAGGGACUAAUCUAAGGGCAAAAAUAUCGGAAACACCAGAUUUUCUAUAUUUCCGAUAUGGUAUAGUAGCUCUACUAUCUCUCUCUCUCUCUCUCUCUCUCUCUCUCUCUCUCUCUCUCUCUCUCUCUAUAUAUAUAUAUAUAUAUAUAUAU
This 1233-nucleotide long non-coding RNA is filed under the name Ananas comosus (pineapple). RNAcentral describes it as "long non-coding RNA (ACOM_LNC001520)". Lineage: Eukaryota; Viridiplantae; Streptophyta; Magnoliopsida; Poales; Bromeliaceae. The record is from RNAcentral.